RNAcentral lists this ribosomal RNA (252 nucleotides) under uncultured bacterium. Its description in RNAcentral is "partial 16S ribosomal RNA". It matches the Rfam family "Bacterial small subunit ribosomal RNA", at positions 524 to 776 of the family's 1533-position model. The record is from RNAcentral.
UACGGAGGAUGCGAGCGUUAUCCGGAUUUAUUGGGUUUAAAGGGUGCGCAGGCGGCACGGCAAGCCGGCGGUCAAAUCGCGGGGCUCAACCCCGCCCAGCCGUCGGAACUGCCGGGCUAGAGUGGGCGAGAAGUGCGCGGAAUGCGUGGUGUAGCGGUGAAAUGCAUAGAUAUCACGCAGAACUCCGAUUGCGAAGGCAGCGCACCGGCGCCCAACUGACGCUGAAGCACGAAGGCGUGGGUAUCGAACAGG